GGGGAAGAGGAAGAGGGAGGUAAGGCGGAUCUUAGUUAGAUGAAACAGACCCACACGUUUACAAUAGAAGCACCGUACCGUUUAGUUCAAAACGCUGUUUUCUACCGGUCCUGAGACUUUCUACUUUAACCAGCCUGUGCGUGCGUGACCUUUGACGCUCGGUGCGUCGCAGAGAGGACGAGGCGGUUCGGGAUCCGGCGACCAGCCGCUCGGACGUCCAAGGUGAUAAAAGUCAAGUAUUUCUUCCCAGAGAGAAGAGGAGUCUCAUGUACCACGCGCUGAUACAGAAGGGUUUGUGAAGCCAUUUUCAGCAGGGACAGUGGGAGACGCAGCCCUGUGUGUUUUUUGGACUCUUAACUAUCAGGACAAAGGAACAUCAGCAGGAAGCGGAACACGGAACAGACAGUAAAGGUGACUGUCCUCUGAGUUCACCCCCCUCUUCCAGGAUGAACGGCUACCCCCCUCCCUCCUUCCCCCAGGGAGGGUUCGACUCAUACGCCUCGCAACUCAAUGGUCAUGGUUCCCAGUCCACAGAGCCUCCAGAUUGCAACGCCAGGUCCAACACCAAGUCCAUCUCUAAAACCCUUUACGAACAACGGAAGAACUACACCAAAAACAGCAUCAACAGCAUGACUAACACCUCCCAGUACCACGUAGAGGUCAGUCUACAUACAGCAUGACUACCACCCUCA
RNAcentral lists this long non-coding RNA (692 nucleotides) under Salmo salar (Atlantic salmon). RNAcentral's name for it is "lncRNA (ENSSSAG00000086549.1)". The record is from RNAcentral. Lineage: Eukaryota; Metazoa; Chordata; Actinopteri; Salmoniformes; Salmonidae.